Molecule: ribosomal RNA, 221 nt
Filed under: uncultured bacterium
Lineage: Bacteria
Description: partial 16S ribosomal RNA
Rfam family: Bacterial small subunit ribosomal RNA
Source: RNAcentral
CGACGUGGAUAACCUGCCUCACACAGGGGGAUAACAGUUGGAAACGACUGCUAAUACCGCAUAAGCGCACAGCACCGCAUGGUGCAGUGUGAAAAACUCCGGUGGUGUGAGAUGGAUCCGCGUCUGAUUAGCUUGUUGGCGGGGUAACGGCCCACCAAGGCGACGAUCAGUAGCCGGCCUGAGAGGACGACCGGCCACAUUGGGACUGAGACACGGCCCAG